CCCAGUCUGGGGACCAGGGGCCGGUGACGGGGGUGACCCCGUUCCGGAAGGCCGCGGCCGCCCUAGCACUCCAUGGUCUCUCCGCCCCCGGCGGCCAGAGAGACUAACAAGUGUGUUUCCUUGCGUUUUACGGGGAAACCGAGACCCGGAGAGAGACGCAGCGACGUUUCCUUGUGCUCCAGACCCCACCGCCCAACUCCGAGACACCUUCCAGCAGCGUCGGGUCCCAGGCUGGAAACGCCUUGUGUCAGGCCCAGUCUAAACAGUAAGGCUUGCAUUUAUUGAGCAUUCACUCAGUACCAGGCGCUUUACACAGUUUAUACCAAUAUCCUGAAAGGAGGAAGCCAGACAUGGAAAACAGCCCUCCUACCCUAAACAAUUCUCAAGUACACCCCACAUCCUGAGACAGCAUAGAAGACCAAAUAAACAGAACAGCCUGCUACACAUGCAGUGAAGUCUGCCCUCCCCAGCUGGAAAGCAAGCCCUAGGACGGGGAAAAAAAAAAGUCCUCUCAUGUCACCUCUGUAUUUCCCACAGCACAGACUGGCCGUGUUGAUUGAAUAAAAAAAUGAUGUGACAAUG
Equus caballus (horse) is the source of this 582-nucleotide long non-coding RNA. RefSeq lists it as uncharacterized. The record is from RefSeq and is a predicted model, not a curated record. NCBI's taxonomy places the organism in Eukaryota, Metazoa, Chordata, Mammalia, Perissodactyla, Equidae.